GCAGUCGACGGUACGGGAAGAAGCUUGCUUUCUUUGCUGACGAGUGGCGGACGGGUGAGUAAUGCUUGGGAAUCUGGCUUAUGGAGGGGGAUAACUACGGGAAACUGUAGCUAAUACCGCGUAGUAUCGGAAGAUGAAAGUGUGGGACCGCAAGGCCACAUGCCAUGAGAUGAGCCCAAGUGGGAUUAGGUAGUUGGUUAGGUAAAGGCUGACCAAGCCGACGAUCUCUAGCUGGUCUGAGAGGAUGACCAGCCACACUGGAACUGAGACACGGUCCAGACUCCUACGGGAGGCAGCAGUGGGGAAUAUUGCACAAUGGGGGGAACCCUGAUGCAGCCAUGCCGCGUGAAUGAAGAAGGCCUUCGGGUUGUAAAGUUCUUUCGGUGAUGAGGAAGGCGGUUGUUUUAAUAGAACAAUCGAUUGACGUUAGUCACAGAAGAAGCACCGGCUAACUCCGUGCCAGCAGCCGCGGUAAUACGGAGGGUGCGAGCGUUAAUCGGAAUAACUGGGCGUAAAGGGCACGCAGGCGGUGACUUAAGUGAGAUGUGAAAGCCCCGAGCUUAACUUGGGAAUUGCAUUUCAUACUGGGUCGCUAGAGUACUUUAGGGAGGGGUAGAAUUCCACGUGUAGCGGUGAAAUGCGUAGAGAUGUGGAGGAAUACCGAAGGCGAAGGCAGCCCCUUGGGAAUGUACUGACGCUCAUGUGCGAAAGCGUGGGGAGCAAACAGGAUUAGAUACCCUGGUAGUCCACGCUGUAAACGCUGUCGAUUUGG
Molecule: ribosomal RNA, 772 nt
Filed under: uncultured bacterium
Lineage: Bacteria
Description: bacterial SSU rRNA
Rfam family: Bacterial small subunit ribosomal RNA
Source: RNAcentral